CCAAAUCACGUUGAAACAUUGGUUCUCGUACGAUCACUGAAGUUAAGCAAUGUUAAGCCUGGUCAUUAUCUAGAUAGGUGACCACUUGGGAAUAUCAGGUGCUGUAAG
This is a non-coding RNA of Acanthosepion pharaonis, 108 nucleotides long. The record is from the annotation of a GenBank genome assembly. NCBI's taxonomy places the organism in Eukaryota, Metazoa, Mollusca, Cephalopoda, Sepiida, Sepiidae.